This 324-nucleotide ribosomal RNA is filed under the name uncultured eukaryote. Its description in RNAcentral is "partial 18S ribosomal RNA". It matches the Rfam family "Eukaryotic small subunit ribosomal RNA", at positions 1470 to 1796 of the family's 1831-position model. The record is from RNAcentral.
CCCUUAGAUGUCCUGGGCUGCACGCGCGCUACACUGAUGUGUCCAGUAAGCACCUAACCUCUUCCGAAAGGAACAGGUAACCUUUGCAAAGCACAUCGUGAUGGGGAUAGAUUAUUGCAAUUAUUAGUCUUGAACGAGGAAUUCCUAGUAAGCACAAGUCAUCAGCUUGUGUUGAUUACGUCCCUGCCCUUUGUACACACCGCCCGUCGCUCCUACCGAUUGAAUGUUCCGGUGAGCUCUUCGGACUGCGCGGUCUGCAGUUUCUGCGUUCCGUGCGGAAAGUUGCGCAAACCUUAACAUUUAGAGGAAGGAGAAGUCGUAACA